Homo sapiens (human) is the source of this 620-nucleotide long non-coding RNA. Ensembl annotates it as USP3 antisense RNA 1. Its record names the gene USP3-AS1. Lineage: Eukaryota; Metazoa; Chordata; Mammalia; Primates; Hominidae. The record is from Ensembl.
CACGAGUUGAGAAGAACUAGCAAGAGUGGUACAAAACUGCAGGUCAUUGGGCUGGCCACCAGGUAUUCCCACCCACCAGAAGCUGGCUGUUGUACUCACCCGGAACCAUGGUGCACCACCACAGCGGCGAGGUCAUACAGGCAGCUCUCCGGGCCACUGUUCUCAGGCUACAGAACAAGGAAGAAGGAGCAGUGGUCAAUGACAUCAGUAUCUCGAUGACCUCUACCCUCUCCAUGUGAUGACAAUCUUACUGAAGAGCCAUUUUUUCACCAUGCUAAAAAGGGAAGAGGAGCACAGCAGUAACGCUGAUGGGAAGAAGGUGCUGACAGAUGGACUCACUGGGGUCACGGCAACAAUCGACAGUACAGGUGGCAAACAUUGUGUAAAAUACUCCAAAUCCAAGACACACAUUUAUAAAAGUCUGUAACAGGUAACAUUACAUGUUAGAGUUGUAACAAAACAGUGAUUAAAUCUCAACUAACUCUUAUAUUUGAAUAAAUUUUAAUUACUUACAUUUACUUUUAAUAACUUGCUGUUUAGUGUUGAGUUUUCCAAAAGUUUUCUUUUCUUAUGCCUGUCAGCUGUGAAAGCUGAGCUAUUAAAACACAAACAGAUAGUGA